GACGAACGCUGGCGGCGUGCCUAAUACAUGCAAGUCGAGCGGACUUAUUUGAGUAGCUUGCUAUUUGGAUAAGUUAGCGGCGGACGGGUGAGUAACACGUGGGUAAUCUGCCUCGUAGUCUGGGAUAACAGGCCGAAAGGUUUGCUAAUACCGGAUGAGUUCGUGUUUCUGCAUAGGGACACGAAGAAAGGGGAAACCCGCUAUGAGAUGAGCCCGCGUCCCAUUAGCUAGUUGGUGGGGUAAAGGCCUACCAAGGCGACGAUGGGUAGCCGGCCUGAGAGGGUGGACGGCCACACUGGGACUGAGACACGGCCCAGACUCCUACGGGGGGCAGCAGUAGGGAAUCUUCGGCAAUGGGCGAAAGCCUGACCGAGCGACGCCGCGUGAGGGACGAAGGCCUUCGGGUUGUAACCUCUGUCUGGGGGACGAGAACGGACGGUACCCCGGACGGAAGCCCCGGCUAACGUACGUG
Molecule: ribosomal RNA, 472 nt
Filed under: uncultured bacterium
Lineage: Bacteria
Description: bacterial SSU rRNA
Rfam family: Bacterial small subunit ribosomal RNA
Source: RNAcentral